GUGAAUCAUCAAAUUUUUGAACGCAAAUUGCACUCUCCUCGGAGAGUAUGCCUGUUUGAGUGUCAGCCUAUAAAAAAUCGACAUCGUUGUUGUUUCUCGGUGGCGUUCGUCGGAAAUUGGGUCAUCUUAACGCUUUUGGGUUGAAGCGACUUAAAAUUUUCCUUUUUGUUCCAUGAACGUUUUUAAGAUUGAUUUCUUGACACGUUUAAGGUAUCGAUUUUUAUUGGACG
This 230-nucleotide unclassified non-coding RNA is filed under the name Glomus sp. RNAcentral describes it as "partial contains 5.8S ribosomal RNA and internal transcribed spacer 2". The stretch from base 1 to 65 matches the Rfam family "5.8S ribosomal RNA", at positions 84 to 154 of the family's 154-position model. Lineage: Eukaryota; Fungi; Glomeromycota; Glomeromycetes; Glomerales; Glomeraceae. The record is from RNAcentral.